CGAGAGAGGGGACCAGAUGAAGUGGAUCAGACAGCCGUGCCCUCUGAAGUAGACUGUGCCACACUUCCAAGUACACCCUGCAUAAUUGUGUGUGUUCCCCUUUGACUGCAGAGAACUUUGUUUUCUGUCGACCAAGUCAUAGUUAACAGCCACAUCACCAUCUUCUGCGAUGCUCUGAAGUUGAUGUUUGCCUCAUACUACUGCUUGAAUAUUUCAUACCCAGGAGACCAAGGAGCAACGCUAGAGUUCGUGCAAAGGUGUGUUUACCGCAAGCGUUCCUUCCUUUCUCCGGGAAGUGGAAGGAAUCAGGGCCGUAUAAUCCGACUCCGGGUCGUUACAGCACACUAGGAGAGCAGCAAGAUGGAAAAUGCUAAGCAUUUCAUUAAGACGAGAAUGCUUUUCCCCGCUCUGCCUAGCGGCCCGGAGAGUCAAUACAUCAAAACCAGCGCACGCCGGAAAAUAUGCGCGAGUUUAAGAGGAAACUAAUUACGAGAGACUUUAAUCUCCUCGCCGAGAGCUUCACCUAUAACUCUGAUAAUCUGCUCUGUUUAAUAUGCUGGAAAAACACUUAGGAGACAUCGAUCAUUCGGAGCGCCUCCAGGCAAGGGCUGCUGCCAAAUGUUUGAAAACACGCAUUUCACAGUCGCACUGACGGCGCUGGCUGUAGAGUGGAUUGUGAUGCUGCUGUUUGGUGUAAGUUAAACUGGCGCAGUCAUGCGGCGAGAUGCUCGAUUCACAUUCACGACAUUCUGCUUCUGUCUUUGCGACAGCAGCUGUUCCAGAGCAGGAACGUGAGCAAUGCACAGUAAUAAACAAAACCAAAGUA
Long non-coding RNA from Sinocyclocheilus grahami, 826 nucleotides. RefSeq lists it as uncharacterized. The transcript is spliced from 3 exons. The record is from RefSeq and is a predicted model, not a curated record. NCBI's taxonomy places the organism in Eukaryota, Metazoa, Chordata, Actinopteri, Cypriniformes, Cyprinidae.